GACGAACGCUGGCGGCGUGCCUAAUACAUGCAAGUUGAGCGAUGAAGAUUGGUGCUUGCACCAAUUUGAAGAGCAGCGAACGGGUGAGUAACGCGUGGGGAAUCUGCCUUUGAGCGGGGGACAACAUUUGGAAACGAAUGCUGAUACCGCAUAACAACUUUAAACAUAAGUUUUAAGUUUGAAAGAUGCAAUUGCAUCACUCAAAGAUGAUCCCGCGUUGUAUUACCUAGUUGGUGAGGUAAAGGCUCACCAAGGCGAUGAUACAUAGCCAACCUGAGAGGGUGAUCGGCCACAUUGGGACUGACACACGGCCCCAACUCCUACGGAAGGCAGCACUAGGGAAUCUUCCGCAAUGGACGAAAGUCUGACCGAGCAACGCCGCGUGAGUGAAGAAGGUUUUCGGAUAGUAAAACUCUGUUGGUAGAGAAGAACGUUGGUGAGAGUGGAAAGCUCAUCAAGUGACGGUAACUACCCAGAAAGGGACGGCUAACUACGUGCCAGCAGCCGCGGUAAUACGUAGGUCCCGAGCGUUGUCCGGAUUUAUUGGGCGUAAAGCGAGCGCAGGUGGUUUAUUAAGUCUGGUGUAAAAGGCAGUGGCUCAACCAUUGUAUGCAUUGGAAACUGGUAGACUUGAGUGCAGGAGAGGAGAGUGGAAUUCCAUGUGUAGCGGUGAAAUGCGUAGAUAUAUGGAGGAACACCGGUGGCGAAAGCGGCUCUCUGGCCUGUAACUGACACUGAGGCUCGAAAGCGUGGGGAGCAAACAGGAUUAGAUACCCUGGUAGUCCACGCCGUAAACGAU
Molecule: ribosomal RNA, 799 nt
Filed under: uncultured organism
Description: SSU rRNA
Rfam family: Bacterial small subunit ribosomal RNA
Source: RNAcentral